RNAcentral lists this ribosomal RNA (462 nucleotides) under uncultured Latescibacterota bacterium. RNAcentral's name for it is "bacterial SSU rRNA". It matches the Rfam family "Bacterial small subunit ribosomal RNA", at positions 923 to 1382 of the family's 1533-position model. Lineage: Bacteria; Pseudomonadati; Candidatus Latescibacterota. The record is from RNAcentral.
GCACAAGCGGUGGAGCAUGUGGUUUAAUUCGAAGCAACGCGAAGAACCUUACCAGGUCUUGACAUCCCCUGACAACCCAAGAGAUUGGGCGUUCCCCUUCGGGGGACAGGGUGACAGGUGGUGCAUGGUUGUCGUCAGCUCGUGUCGUGAGAUGUUGGGUUAAGUCCCGCAACGAGCGCAACCCUUAUCCCCAGUUGCCAUCAGGUAAAGCUGGGAACUCUGGGGAGACUGCCGGUGAUAAACCGGAGGAAGGCGGGGAUGACGUCAAGUCCUCAUGGCCCUUACAUCCCGGGCUACACACGUGCUACAAUGGCAGGUACAGAGGGCUGCGAAGCCGCGAGGUGGAGCGAAUCCCAGAAAACCUGUCUCAGUCCGGAUUGAAGUCUGCAACUCGACUUCAUGAAGGCGGAAUCGCUAGUAACCGCGAAUCAGCAGGUCGCGGUGAAUACGUUCCCGGGCCUU